This 73-nucleotide transfer RNA is filed under the name Cyphomyrmex costatus. It matches the Rfam family "tRNA". From Rfam's summary of the family: Transfer RNA (tRNA) molecules are approximately 80 nucleotides in length. Lineage: Eukaryota; Metazoa; Arthropoda; Insecta; Hymenoptera; Formicidae. The record is from Rfam by way of RNAcentral.
GCCUCGGUAGUCUAAUUGGCUAGGAUAUUUGUAUGUAAAGCAAGCGAUCCAGGUUCAACUCCCGGUCGAGAUA